GUGGGGAAUCUUAGACAAUGGGCGCAAGCCUGAUCUAGCCAUGCCGCGUGAGCGAUGAAGGCCUUAGGGUUGUAAAGCUCUUUCAGCUGGGAAGAUAAUGACGGUACCAGCAGAAGAAGCCCCGGCUAACUCCGUGCCAGCAGCCGCGGUAAUACGGAGGGGGCUAGCGUUGUUCGGAAUUACUGGGCGUAAAGCGCACGUAGGCGGAUCAGAAAGUCAGAGGUGACAUCCCAGGGCUCAACCUUGGAACUGCCUUUGAAACUCCUGAUCUUGAGGUCGAGAGAGGUGAGUGGAAUUCAGAGUGUAGAGGUGAAAUUCGUAGAUAUUCGGAGGAACACCAGUGGCGAAGGCGGCUCACUGGCUCGAUACUGACGCUGAGGUGCGAAAGCGUGGGGAGCAAACAGGAUUAGAAACCCUGGUAGUCC
RNAcentral lists this ribosomal RNA (425 nucleotides) under uncultured bacterium. RNAcentral describes it as "partial 16S ribosomal RNA". It matches the Rfam family "Bacterial small subunit ribosomal RNA", at positions 354 to 796 of the family's 1533-position model. The record is from RNAcentral.